CCUACGGUGGGCAGCAGUGGGGAAUUUUGGACAAUGGGCGAAAGCCUGAUCCAGCAAUGCCGCGUGUGUGAUGAAGGCCUUCGGGUUGUAAAGCACUUUUGGCGGGAACGAAAAGGACUGUGCCAAUACCACGGUUCGAUGACGGUACCCGCAGAAUAAGCACCGGCUAACUACGUGCCAGCAGCCGCGGUAAUACGUAGGGUGCAAGCGUUAAUCGGAAUUACUGGGCGUAAAGAGUGCGCAGGCGGUUUUGCAAGACCGAUGUGAAAUCCCCGGGCUUAACCUGGGAACUGCAUUGGUGACUGCAAGGCUAGAGUGUGUCAGAGGGAGGUGGAAUUCCGCAUGUAGCAGUGAAAUGCGUAGAUAUGCGGAGGAACACCGAUGGCGAAGGCAGCCUCCUGGGAUAACACUGACGCUCAUGCACGAAAGCGUGGGGAGCAAACAGGAUUAGAUACCCCAGUAGUC
This 465-nucleotide ribosomal RNA is filed under the name uncultured Lautropia sp. Its description in RNAcentral is "bacterial SSU rRNA". It matches the Rfam family "Bacterial small subunit ribosomal RNA", at positions 338 to 795 of the family's 1533-position model. The record is from RNAcentral. Lineage: Bacteria; Pseudomonadati; Pseudomonadota; Betaproteobacteria; Burkholderiales; Burkholderiaceae.